This 660-nucleotide unclassified non-coding RNA is filed under the name Hevea brasiliensis (rubber tree). The record is from RNAcentral. Lineage: Eukaryota; Viridiplantae; Streptophyta; Magnoliopsida; Malpighiales; Euphorbiaceae.
UGGUUAUAAAAGUAAAAAGGGGCUAAUUUAUGUAUUAGCCUAACAAAGACGGGAGGACAUGCCAACAGAGAAAGCUUAAGCAACUAAGAAAAAAUAAUAUGACUUGUCUUCAGUCACAUGAAAUGAGGGCCUCCGCAAUCUAGUGCCAACCAGAGGCCUGAACUCCAACUACAUGAUAGUUUAUCAUAUAAGCCUAUUUGAAUUCUGUGAUAGCUUUGAAUUUCAUUUUGGUUAAAACUGUAUCAAUUGGGAUUUAGAAUUGAAAAGGAGGAAAAGAAUAAAUUACAACUUCUAGCAGGAUUUUCAAAUACAUCCUAAACAUAAGAACUAAUCACAUUCAAGAAUCUACCAAAUCAAAAAAAACUUAAUACUGUUCAAAUGUUAAAAAAAAAAAAACCUUAAUACUGUAAAGAUCAUCAAAGUACUGUCCACUAAAAUCAAAUGAAAAUCCAGAAUACCCAAUCACAAUUCGCAACACAUUACAGUUACAUUUCAUUAAAAUUUGCCACUCAGAUAACACUUGUCUCAAAAUUCGUUAAACAGCGAUGGAUGCUUCGGGAAAAAAAAUAUUAUCGUUGUUACAAAUCUAACCCAUCAGUUCUUUUCCUCCUGAUAUUCGAAAAUACCCAUAAAAAUUCUUUAUCUCGAUACCAGACCCAA